This 566-nucleotide ribosomal RNA is filed under the name Bipolaris oryzae. Its description in RNAcentral is "eukaryotic LSU rRNA". The stretch from base 191 to 344 matches the Rfam family "5.8S ribosomal RNA". Lineage: Eukaryota; Fungi; Ascomycota; Dothideomycetes; Pleosporales; Pleosporaceae. The record is from RNAcentral.
UGCGGAGGGAUCAUUACACAACAAAAUAUGAAGGCCUGGCUUUCGCGGCCGGCUGAAGUAUUUUUUUCACCCAUGUCUUUUGCGCACUUGUUGUUUCCUGGGCGGGUUCGCCCGCCACCAGGACCAAACCAUAAACCUUUUUUUCUUAUGCAGUUUCCAUCAGCGUCAGUAAAAACAAUGUAAUUAUUACAACUUUCAACAACGGAUCUCUUGGUUCUGGCAUCGAUGAAGAACGCAGCGAAAUGCGAUACGUAGUGUGAAUUGCAGAAUUCAGUGAAUCAUCGAAUCUUUGAACGCACAUUGCGCCCUUUGGUAUUCCAAAGGGCAUGCCUGUUCGAGCGUCAUUUGUACCUUCAAGCUUUGCUUGGUGUUGGGCGUUUUUUUGUCUCCCUCUUUCUGGGAGACUCGCCUUAAAACGAUUGGCAGCCGGCCUACUGGUUUCGGAGCGCAGCACAUUUUUUGCGCUUUGUAUCAGGAGAAAAGGACGGUACUCCAUCAAGACUCUACAUUUUUCACUUUUGACCUCGGAUCAGGUAGGGAUACCCGCUGAACUUAAGCAUAUCAAU